GAUGAACGCUGGCGGCGUGCCUAAUACAUGCAAGUCGAGCGAACAGAUAAGGAGCUUGCUCCUUUGACGUUAGCGGCGGACGGGUGAGUAACACGUGGAUAACCUACCUAUAAGACUGGGAUAACUUCGGGAAACCGGAGCUAAUACCGGAUAACAUAUUGAACCGCAUGGUUCAAUAGUGAAAGGCGGCUUUGCUGUCACUUAUAGAUGGAUCCGCGCCGUAUUAGCUAGUUGGUAAGGUAACGGCUUACCAAGGCAACGAUACGUAGCCAACCUGAGAGGGUGAUCGGCCACACUGGAACUGAGACACGGUCCAGACUCCUACGGGAGGCAGCAGUAGGGAAUCUUCCGCAAUGGGCGAAAGCCUGACGGAGCAACGCCGCGUGAGUGAUGAAGGUCUUCGGAUCGUAAAACUCUGUUAUCAGGGAAGAACAAAUGUGUAAGUAACUGUGCACAUCUUGACGGUACCUGAUCAGAAAGCCACGGCUAACUACGUG
Molecule: ribosomal RNA, 497 nt
Filed under: uncultured bacterium
Lineage: Bacteria
Description: partial 16S ribosomal RNA
Rfam family: Bacterial small subunit ribosomal RNA
Source: RNAcentral